Molecule: long non-coding RNA, 2284 nt
Organism: Cavia porcellus (domestic guinea pig)
Lineage: Eukaryota; Metazoa; Chordata; Mammalia; Rodentia; Caviidae
Exons: 3
Source: RefSeq, a predicted model, not a curated record
UCCUCUUGUGUGGUAUCAGGUCACCCAGCCCAGUGCACUGUGACAGGGAGACUGGCUUCUUGGGCAGAGUUGUUCACGAGGAAGUGCAGGCUGGGUCAGGGCACAAAGGACUGGUCCGAGGGUAACCAGGAGCGAGAAAGGAGGAGCUGCUUCUUUCAGUGUGUGUGCUCUGGAAGAGUUGAGGAGGAAACUGUGAAUUUCAUUUUUGGGAAGAAUGCAGAAUAAUUUUGUGUGUGUGUGGUACCAGGGGUCAAACUCAGGACUGCACACUUGCCAGAGUCAAUUUAGAAAGUUCAUGCAGGAGGCCUAGAAGAUGUAUGCAGCACACUGCGUCCUAAAACUUGAGAUAAUAAAAUUACACGAAAAGAAAAUCACCCACAUUCCAAGAUGAGUAACGGGAAGACUGCACUGAACCUGGGCAGCUGGUGAGAUGGAGCUCUUACAGCGCACAGGUUCGGCCACAGGAAGAGAAGGUGGCAGCUGGCCCAGAGCAGGAGCAAGAAGCUGGGGAGGGGCAGCACGUCUUAGGAGGACGAAGGGAGCCAGAAAAACGGCCACGAACGCGGGCCGUGGGGAGGGCUCGGGUUGGAACAGUGUCAGUCUAGAUGAUAUCCCUGAGGGGAGGGAAGCAUUUUGUAACAUAUGCAAGGUGUGGCGUGUUAUGAUUUAUUCAGAUUUAUAUGGGGAGGGAGGGUAGAUGAGCAAAAAUGGCUCCUUCAAGUUAUGAGUGUGGAGUUUUGAAGGCACUGUGUAGGCAUGCGACAUUGCUGUUCGAGCUCAGGACUCCUGAGUGUGGUUCUCACCAAAGCACUCUAGAUGCAGUUCAGGGCAGAAGGGAGGUCUGGCAUCAUUCCUGUUAGGGAGGAAAUCGGAGGAAAUCCAAUUUUAAUAAAUUGGAAAAAACAGCUUUUUUCUUUAAGGAAAUCAUUUUAGCCAUGUAAAAUCCCACUAGACCAUGAUGGGGAUUUGGUUUUACUUCCUGUUUCCUAGCAAUACAAAUCUGUUCUUAUUUACAGGAUUCACAAAGAAGAACGACAAAGGAUGUAGGGGGCAAUUUUUAAGCUAAAUUUACACAUUCAUUUAAUUUCCCUGUAGAGUUUUGUACUCAAAUAUUACUGUAACCUUUGCUCAUUUCUUUAUCGGUAGCUUGAGCUCUGUUUUGUGAGUUCGUUACACCAGUUGCCCAUUAUGGGAUGAAUUCUGUUUUGCCAAAAUUUAUACAGCGAAGCCAUAACUUCCAGCACCUCUGACUGCGACCUCCUUGGGAGAGGGGUCAGUGCAGAGGGUGUUAGGUCGGGAGGCGGCCUCUGAUGCGGCCUGACCGGUGUCCUAAUGCACGGACACGUGUGAUGAGGGGCAUGUGGAGAGGAAGCCAGAGACGCCAGACCGCCAGCAGACCGCAGAGCUGGGAGAGAGGCCCGGUAUACAGCGGAGCCUUGUGUUUAUACUUAGAAAGAAAACCAUCGCAGUAAAACACAGAUUGCAGUUAAAACUCCCUCAAAAUCCUGCCUCGCUUCCGGCACCCUGUGCCACUGCUGUUGCCCCUUCUGAAGCAAAGCUGGAGGUCCCCCCUCUCUUUUGUACUGGGGAUCAAACUUAUGGCCUGCUGCUUGCCAGGCAGGCUCUUCUGCCACUGAGCUAAACCCCCAGCCGCAGGAGGGCCUGCUUUGAGGGAGAUUCACGGUGACGGACCUUUUAUUGCGAUGUUAUUUUGUGCUUUUCCCCUUCACCGCCCUCACUGGUCACAUCUCUGCGAGGGAACCAGGCCUGUGACACCUUCGGCCGGGCUUCCAGCGUCCAGUGCAGUGAGACGGUGCUUUCUGUUGUUUAAGCAACUCGCUGUGUGUGCCAUCGGUCUUCUGCAGCACCUUCAUUCUUAGUCACUUAGUAGCUGAGAAUGGUAAUUCACAAUGAACAGCAGGUUAUUGGACUUGCAGUUCCACAGCCGAGAAGGCCAAGCGCGCAGGCUUGUGUCUAGUUAGGGCUUGCUAGCUGGGUCCUCGCUGUCACACAGAGGGGAAGAGGCAGAGUGUGUGGAGAGAGCCCGAGUUAUUUCUGUAAUCAGUGCUGCAAGAUGGCGUUCUUUUACCAGACAGGAAAGAAAGGAAAACAGGAGAGAAAGGAAGGGAGGGAGAAGAGGAGGGAGGAAGGAGAAAAAGAAGGAAGAGACGGAAGGAAGCAAGGUACUUGAGGUCCUUUGAAAAGUAACCAGAUAAUUUGAUUGAGAUCUUUUGACAAAUCAGAUUUAACAAUUGUACCCCCAGAUAUCUGGAAGUAUUUUUAA